RNAcentral lists this ribosomal RNA (368 nucleotides) under uncultured bacterium. RNAcentral's name for it is "bacterial SSU rRNA". It matches the Rfam family "Bacterial small subunit ribosomal RNA", at positions 527 to 897 of the family's 1533-position model. The record is from RNAcentral.
GGAGGGUGCAAGCGUUAUCCGGAUUCACUGGGUUUAAAGGGUGCGUAGGAGGGCAGGUAAGUCAGUGGUGAAAUCUUCGAGCUUAACUCGGAAACUGCCGUUGAUACUAUCUGUCUUGAAUACCGUGGAGAUGAGCGGAAUAUGUCAUGUAGCGGUGAAAUGCUUAGAUAUGACAUAGAACACCAAUUGCGAAGGCAGCUCGUUACACGAAUAUUGACUCUGAGGCACGAAAGCGUGGGGAUCAAACAGGAUUAGAUACCCUGGUAGUCCACGCCCUAAACGAUGGAUACUCGACAUACGCGAUACACUGUGUGUGUCUGAGCGAAAGCAUUAAGUAUCCCACCUGGGAAGUACGACCACAAGGUAUG